GGUAUACACAAAAGUUCUUAGCAUCGCUAAGUGCACUUAACGGCAAAGAAUCGUUAAGUUUUCUACUUAAAAUGGCGCUGGGCCGCUUAGCGCUGAAGCUGGAGCACUUAGCGGGCGGAAAAUUUAAGGCGGGGAAGGGGCUCCCAUAGCACCGUUAAAAAUGCAUAAGUAUUGCAACAUGGUGGAUUACAGCGGGAUGAAAGGCAUCACCUCCUAAUAUAUCUGCCUCGUCUAGACGAAUUGGAGGCGUGUAAUGAUUUGAAACUCAUCCUGAAAUAUCUGUGGACUGUGCUGACCGUGCUGAGAUGAGUGGUUCGGCGAGGCGGACCUUGGAAACACCUACAUGGCCAUCACGACUGAAGUGGUGUUCGCUGACAGGUAAAAUGCAGGUGCAACCUUCACAGGCUGACAGAGAUUGAGUGAUAACAGACACUGGAGACCCUCCAAGCGAUGGCUGGUGACCGCCUGCCACCAUCCACAGGCUGUCACACAAGGAGCCCUGGGAGUAACCUUGCUGGAAGCCCCGCGGGCCGCGGUGUGUGGCUGGCGUUAUACAGCCCCCAGCCAUCGCCUGGAGACAUCCAGUGUCUGUUAUCACUCACCUUAGGUAGUCUGUGAAGGUCCAGUCAUCACUGGUGCACGUGUAUCUUACCUGUGAUCAACACCGGCAGCCACAGACUCCUGCCCAAGGAACGAACACAGUGAUCGUGAUGACAUUGACAACAACGAGCAAGUCCUCCUAGACCUAGAGUGACCUCAAGCUGGGCCAAACAUGAUGUGGAAGAAGAAAUCAGUUGUCUCCAUCAGUCGGGUUUGUGCCAUGGCAGCUUUCUCCAGCUGUCCGGCAGAGGUCCAGUCCAUGCCAUGGAGAAAUUCAGCCCCCAACAAUGAGAUGGCAUGCCAGAGAUGGAUCCGCAGCUUCUCCUCCAAUCAGUCAAUCCUUGCAAUGCCCUUUCUCUUUUCUCUCCUUCUGUACCACCAUGCUUACACAUAACUGAUCCAAGGUACUUAAACUCGUUAACCUCCUCCAUUUCUUCACCAUUCAAAAUUAUUUGGCAUUCUUUUUCACAUUCAAUGCCCACUCUAUAUGGGCAUACAAACUCUACAACCUCCCUUCUACUCCGCUCACAAACCAUCACUUUACUUUUGUUGACAUUUACUUUCAACUUUCUCCUUUUACAUACACUAUCAAAAACACUGACCAAAUUUUGUAAGUCACUUUCAUUUUCUGCAUUGAGCACUGUCAUCAGCAAAUAAGAUUGAAUUCAUCACCCACUUCCCUCCCUCCCUCAGCAUACAUUUUUACUUCAAUUUCCCCAACUUUGCCCUUCAUUUCUCAUAACACCAUCCAUAUAAAUAUUGAACAACCAUGAUGACAUAUAUAUCUUUAAGACGUCCCACAAUGCCAGCCAAUCGACUCUGUCAUAAACUUUCUUUAGAAUAACUAGAUCCAUGAAGGCAGCAUAGUAUUUUUUCCUUUUGCUAAUAUUUUUUCUAAUAAAACACCAUACUGAAGGAAAAUAUCUGAUCCACACAUCCUCUUCCCUUCCUAAAGUCUCCUUGUUCUUCACUGAUUUUCUCUUCUGUAAGUCUUUGCGCAGUCUCAAUUAGGACUUUUCCAUAUACCUUUCCAGGUAGCCUACACUCAGCAGACUUAUACCCCUACAACUCCCACUUCCCCUCUCCUGCCCUUCCCCUUGUAAACUGGGACCAUGAUGGCUUUUGUCAAGUCUGCUGGGACCUCCCCCCCCCCUUCCCAGGCCACUUCACAUAUCUUGACCAUUCAUAUAGUAACUUCAUCUCCACACUUCAACAUUUCUGCUGUGAUUCCUCUCAAUUCAUUCAUCAUCAUCA
Molecule: long non-coding RNA, 1854 nt
Organism: Eriocheir sinensis (Chinese mitten crab)
Lineage: Eukaryota; Metazoa; Arthropoda; Malacostraca; Decapoda; Varunidae
Exons: 3
Source: RefSeq, a predicted model, not a curated record